Non-coding RNA from Saimiri boliviensis boliviensis (Bolivian squirrel monkey), 2555 nucleotides. The record is from RefSeq and is a predicted model, not a curated record. Lineage: Eukaryota; Metazoa; Chordata; Mammalia; Primates; Cebidae.
UGGAAAAUGGCGGCCUCCAUGCCGCGUGGGUUGUUGGUCGGGUGGGUUACUAGAGUCCACCCGGUCUCGUGCUUUCUCUGGGCACCCGUAGCUGACGCCGGCAUCCACAAAAAUAGAUCAGGUAAAGCGGCAGAGUAAGGGAUACGAAGGCUUGGUUGGGCUCUGCGGUCCCUCUUUACCGGAUUGGAGGCUGCGAGGGUGAAAUCGAGCUUUAAACUCCCCUGGCCUCUGAACACCAUUUUAGCCUCCGAAGGAGGAGGACUUAUAAGAUUCUGUACUAAGGCAGCCGUAGGAAAAGAGGAGAACCAGGUCGACCCGUGAGCUCCAGGCUGCUCUUGCGCGCCCUCUGGUUUCGGAGGCGUCAGGUCCCAAGGUCUCCCACGUUCCUGGCUUUCGGAUUCCACUGGAGAGAGGAUGAAUAAAGAGGAAGCUGCAGCCUGUGAAGCAUCUAAUCCCUGCUCCCCUCUGAAACUGGGACAUGUUGGACCAAGCACUAUCCCCAUUUCAUGAAGAAACUGAGGCAGACAGAGAGAAGUGAAGUAGCUUACCAAAAUAGUAAAACUACAUUAUAAAUCAUAAACCCAAAUGCCACGCUCUAUUAUCCCAGUUUCCCAAAAGCUGGACCAGCCAUGACGGCACCUUCCAAUAAAAGGGGAACUCCAGAGAUGCUAUGAGAAAAGAGGAACAGACAUCUGCAAUAGAUAUCUGCAACUUCCUUUUCAAAAACAACAUCAACAUUGGUUUCUCAGGAAGCCACUGCCAGCCAAAUGUGAUAGCUGACACUGAGUUCCUGAAAUUCUCUAAUUAGGAUUCCAGAUUGGAGGGUCAGCCAGUGGUUAACAUGUAAUUAGCACAAAACUGAUUUUAUUGGAAGACUGAGGGUGAGCACUCACCAUAGUUCUAACCGUUAGAAAAUCCACAAAAACAUUACAAUUCUGUGUGUAUGAGUUUAGGAAAAAAUGAAAAUCCUGACAAAAUCCCAACCUAAAAAACAAUGUUAACACUUGCAAGUAGGAUGGGGAGGCAGAGAUGAAUUGGCAGCAUUAUCACUAUGGACUAUGUGAACUUAAAAUAAGAAAUGGGGUGGGGGUUGGGUAGUGGUGUUUUUAACAGAGCAGGAGUAGAGACGGAUGUCGUGGGAGCAGAAUGGAUGCCCAUGCUGCCUGGAGCCUGAAGCUGGAAGCUGAGGACUAAGAGGAUACAGGAGGGUGGGGACCUGUACCUUUUCCAAGAAACUGGUGCCCCAAAACUGGUAAGCUGGGGUAUGCAUUUAGCUCAUUCCUUUAGUCACCACCCAAUGAAAGAAAUGACUGAUGGCAGGACUUGAACAGUUCUCCAUAAAUGAGUUCCUGGGAGAGAACAGGUCUCCAGGCUCCACAAUACCCACCAAAUACACUGCCUUUAGCCCAUUUCAAACUGUACUUUUAUACAGAAUCCAACCCAACCAAACUCAGAGGUAAGGGUGAAGGUAGGCAAUGAACAGCUAUGAUCCUCCAUUCCUUGGCCAGGCAGGGAGCCUCUCCCUCCACUUCCAUGAAACUGCUUGUAACAGAAAUAAAAAAACCAACUCCAAGGCUCAGUAACCCACCCAAGGUCAGAACCACUGAGUGCAAAACCUGUGAGCCACAAAGGAGACUGAAAACCAGAAAGAGCUUCUCUCUAGUCUGCAUUAUUUUAAGAAAAACAUGCCCAUAGGGGCAAUGGGGAACCAAGGCUGUGGGACAACCUGGACUCAGCACACUCAUCUUCCUUUCAAAUUAAACAUCACCUUCCCAGGAGCAACAACAGCCUGGCCCAGCAGAUGAACUGGAAUCAAUCUAAGCUUUCCCCCUAUGCCAGGGGUGGUGUGGGGUAGGGAUUUGGGUCAGUUUGGGCACUUACACCUACUUAGUUUGGGCACCACAGGACCUGCUGUGAAGUCUACUGGCAUCUUCCAGGAAAGUCCUACCUCAUUAGUAAAAAGAAAAACAAAGACUUGCAAAGAAAGUUCCUGCUCUACCUGGUGAAUGCUGUUGUGUGAGGAUGUCAUGUUUGGAACAUGCCAGUCACCCUGUGACCACAAGAAGGCCAGGCAUACCACAAGAUGGUCAUUCCAGUGCUCUGAAUCAGCCCCAAACCACUUCCCUCAAAACUCAUGUUCUAAAGUGAUUAAAAGUGUGCUUUGAAGGUAAGACCCGUGACAGUCAACAUAUCAGUGACUGUCAGGAGUCAAGGGUAGAGGGAGGGAAGAACAGAUGGAGCACAGAGAAUUUUUAAGGCAGUGAAAAUGUUCUGUAUGAUGCUAUAAUGAAUACAUGCCAUCGUAUACUUGUCCAAACCCACAGAAUGUACACCACCAAGAGUGAACCCUAGAGUAAACUAUGGACUUUGGGUGAUUAUGAUGUGUUAAUGCAGGUUCGUCAGUUGCAACAAAUGUACCAUUCUAGUGGGGGAUGUUGAUAAUAGAAGGCUAUGCAUGUGUGAGACCAGGGGAUAUAUGGAAAAUCUCUGUAUUUGCCUCUCAAGUUUGCUGAUAAUCUAAAACUGCUCUUAAAAAUAAAGUCUUACCAAAACAA